Molecule: unclassified non-coding RNA, 294 nt
Filed under: uncultured Glomeraceae
Lineage: Eukaryota; Fungi; Glomeromycota; Glomeromycetes; Glomerales; Glomeraceae
Description: sequence contains 5.8S rRNA gene
Rfam family: 5.8S ribosomal RNA (bases 1-53)
Source: RNAcentral
GAACGCAUAUUGCACUCUCUGGUAUUCCGGAGAGUAUGCCUGUUUGAGGGUCUGUUAAAUAACAAUCGAGGUUGUUGCUGCCUUUUUUGUGUGGUGACGCUUUGGAAUUGGGUUUUCUUUACCUUCGGGUUAAGUGGCCUAAAAUUUUUACAUGAUUUUUCGAACGUAUUUAAAUCUUUUACGUACGUUUGGUUAUAUCGAAUAUAUUAGGUGUGGUCAUCUUCAUGAUUUCACGUCUAUAAUUUUUUUCAUUUUUAGACCUCAAAUCAGGUAAGAACACCCGCUGAACUUAAG